GAUGAACGCUGGCGGCGUGCCUAAUACAUGCAAGUCGAGCGAACGGACGAGAAGCUUGCUUCUCUGAUGUUAGCGGCGGACGGGUGAGUAACACGUGGAUAACCUACCUAUAAGACUGGGAUAACUUCGGGAAACCGGAUCUAAUACCGGAUGAUAUUUUGAACCGCAUGGUUCAAAAGUGAAAGACGGUCUUGCUGUCACUUAUAGAUGGAUCCGCGCUGCAUUAGCUAGUUGGUAAGGUAACGGCUUACCAAGGCAACGAUGCAUAGCCGACCUGAGAGGGUGAUCGGCCACACUGGAACUGAGACACGGUCCAGACUCCUACGGGAGGCAGCAGUAGGGAAUCUUGCGCAAUGGGCGAAAGCCUGACGGAGCAACGCCGCGUGAGUGAUGAAGGUCUUCGGAUCGUAAAGCUCUGUUAUUAGGGAAGAACAUAUGUGUAAGUAACUGUGCACAUCUUGACGGUACCUAAUCAGAAAGCCACGGCUAACUACGUG
This 497-nucleotide ribosomal RNA is filed under the name uncultured bacterium. RNAcentral describes it as "partial 16S ribosomal RNA". It matches the Rfam family "Bacterial small subunit ribosomal RNA", at positions 28 to 507 of the family's 1533-position model. The record is from RNAcentral.